AGGAAUCUUGAGGGGGGCUCUUCCUAGUACGAGAGGGCCGGAAGAGACGAACCGCUCGUGUGCCUGCUCGUCUGCCAAGGCGAGCGCAGGGUAGCGAUGUUCGGACUGGAUAAGCGCUGAAAGCAUCUAAGCGCCAAGCCAUCUCCAAGAUAAGGAUUCCCAACCCGUUUUGGGUUUAGAAGGCACCUCGAAGACGACGAGGUUGAUAGGCGAGGAGUGGAAGCGCCGUAAGGCGUGGAGCUGACUCGUACUAAUCGGCCGUUCGGCUUGACAGG
Omnitrophica WOR_2 bacterium is the source of this 275-nucleotide non-coding RNA. The record is from Rfam. NCBI's taxonomy places the organism in Bacteria, Pseudomonadati, Candidatus Omnitrophota.